AUUUAAAUAGUUUAGUCAAAUAAAAUAUUAGUUUGUGGGACUAGAGAUGUAUAUUAAUACUUUAAAUA
This 68-nucleotide transfer RNA is filed under the name Cheirotonus gestroi. RNAcentral's name for it is "tRNA-His". Lineage: Eukaryota; Metazoa; Arthropoda; Insecta; Coleoptera; Scarabaeidae. The record is from RNAcentral. RNAcentral also lists the same sequence under 1 other name.